Long non-coding RNA from Saccostrea cuccullata (small rock oyster), 958 nucleotides. RefSeq lists it as uncharacterized. The record is from RefSeq and is a predicted model, not a curated record. The transcript has 3 exons. Lineage: Eukaryota; Metazoa; Mollusca; Bivalvia; Ostreida; Ostreidae.
AAUAAUUUUUCACUGAAAAUACAAUUUUUUUUUAUAUCAAAACAAGUUUUAUCAAUGAAGAAUUCGAACUUUUUACGUCAUCAAUUAAAUUGGACUAAUAUUACAAUAACAUCGGGAUCGAAGUCGGGCUCGAUGAACAAUUAAUUUUAACAACACCGAAAUUCAAAAAUAUCGAAUACCAUGUUGAUGUUCCACAGUAGGAAAGUUGGAAUGAGUGUCACGAACAGGGGGAUCAUGGUCAGCUUGGGAUGGAAGAAGAUGACGACAUUUUUAAGACCGGAAUCCGGAUGCUCACAAGAGUUAGGACAAGAACUGUAUAAAAAAAAUGAAAUUGUGCAAGGGAAGUUUGAAGUGUCUGUUUGAAUGAUCAACAUCGAACUUGCUGAGCCUUCGUACUAAAAGUGAAUCCGUUGGUGAUGCCAAAUAUCUGUCAACCCUCUAUUGCAAAUUUCAUGGGAUAUCUGUGAGGAUGUGAUUCUAGCAACAUGUCAGAAGUUUUGUAUCUUCCAUAAUUGGGAUCUUUGGCACGUACAUUGGUGGAAAAUAGCAACUGUUCAUUUUUAUGGGAUCUUUGUAUCAAUGUAGUUGUGUACUACAUAUAUUUUUGCAUUUAAUACAUGUGUUUGUCACUCUAGUCACUAAUUUUGUACAGUAAAUGUACAUGGGCCACUGGCACUUUAUUGUAAAUGUAUAUCCUGUUGAGGUUUCAAUGACCUCUCCCAAUCCUUGGCCAAUGUCAUUUAAUGAAUCUAACCUCUUAUUUAAAAAAAAAUGCAUACUUUAGUUUACUGCAUUACAUGUAUAUCAUAACUUGAUUAUCAUUAAUUUAACCAAGGUGAUCCCCCAGUAAUCUUAUUUUUUCUUGGAUAUAUCUGUUAAUAACCUUUGAUGUAAAAUACUUUGCAGUUUCAUUGAGAAUACAUACAUUUUAAAAAGUGUGCUUAUAUUGUACAUCUGA